GCCCCAGCAAAUUUAAAUUUGUAAAAAUGGCUCUUAUCUUGCCAUGCAGGCACCAUGUUAAUGCCAUGCGGGCGAGGCUGGGGCCAGAUAGUUAAGUUGAAUACGGUGAAUCAUUCACCGUGUCUAAACAUUGAUCCUGCCACGCAGGCCCCACGUCAGUGCCAUGCCGGCGGGGCUGGGGCCAGAUAGUUAAGUUCAACACGGUGAACCAUUCACCGUGUCUAA
This 225-nucleotide long non-coding RNA is filed under the name Ananas comosus (pineapple). Its description in RNAcentral is "long non-coding RNA (ACOM_LNC027152)". Lineage: Eukaryota; Viridiplantae; Streptophyta; Magnoliopsida; Poales; Bromeliaceae. The record is from RNAcentral.